RNAcentral lists this ribosomal RNA (508 nucleotides) under uncultured bacterium. RNAcentral describes it as "partial 16S ribosomal RNA". It matches the Rfam family "Bacterial small subunit ribosomal RNA", at positions 28 to 507 of the family's 1533-position model. The record is from RNAcentral.
GACGAACGCUGGCGGCGUGCCUAAUACAUGCAAGUCGAACGCUUCUUUCCUCCCGAGUGCUUGCCCUCCAUUGGAAAGAGGAGUGGCGGACGGGUGAGUAACACGUGGGUAACCUACCCAUCAGAGGGGGAUGACACUUGUAAACAGGUGCUAAUACCGCAUAACAGUUUAUGCCGCAUGGCAUAAGAGUGAAAGGCGCUUUCGGGUGUCGCUGAUGGAUGGACCCGCGGUGCAUUAGCUAGUUGGUGAGGUAACGGCUCACCAAGGCCACGAUGCAUAGCCGACCUGAGAGGGUGAUCGGCCACACUGGGACUGAGACACGGCCCAGACUCCUACGGGAGGCAGCAGUAGGGAAUCUUCGGCAAUGGACGAAAGUCUGACCGAGCAACGCUGCGUGAGUGAAGAAGGUUUUCGGAUCGUAAAACUCUGUUGUUAGAGAAGAACAAGGACGUUAGUAACUGAACGUCCCCUGACGGUAUCUAACCAGAAAGCCACGGCUAACUACGUG